RNAcentral lists this long non-coding RNA (1019 nucleotides) under Medicago truncatula (barrel medic). RNAcentral's name for it is "long non-coding RNA (MTRU_LNC008757)". The record is from RNAcentral. Lineage: Eukaryota; Viridiplantae; Streptophyta; Magnoliopsida; Fabales; Fabaceae.
UUUCAUCAAUGCCAAGCUGAAGCAGAUAUCAAAUUUCUGCUCUUCCACCCUAAGAGCAUUGCCCCAUCUUUCUCAACUAGUGUAUAGUGCUCUGAAUAGCAUCUCAGAAGGCUUCUUAUAACAGAAUUCACAUAAGAACUCAAAGGACAUUGACGAAAUCCGGCCAUUGUCAACCUAGACUUCCACUUACCAAACAGUUCGUGUCGCUCGACCCUUUCUUUUCCUUCACACGCAAUGACAUUGACGAUAUCCCGAGCCAAACAAUGUUGCUCCACAUUAAUCCUCUCCUUGCUAUUUCUUGAGAGGGUGACAUCGAUGGACUCGAAGAUUGCCAAGUAGUAGUCUAGAGUUUCUAUGAACCUGUUGAAGAAAGGUGUUGUGUUUGUGUUUGAUUCUUGCUCCACAAGGGUGACCACUUUAGGAGAGAGAGACUUCACCAAUCUCAAAAGUCCAUCCCUUGGAUUAUUCACAUCAACACUCUCAUCAGCUGUGUGAUGGAGCUGCAGUGGAAAAUUCACCGCCAAAGCUUCUCCGUGUCUGAUAUCAAGCAUGUCCCUUGUCACAUCUGGACCGAAAACAGGAAUCCCAUGAAACUCAACCGGUAUGCCGAAUUUCUUAGACAUCAAGGACAAUCUCUCUCCAACUACUUCGAGUCCCUUGCCACGGGCAUAUUUAGAGACUGGAUCGUCGAUUCCUGUGAUCCGCACGUGGGGUGCCCCACCAGGUCUCGCGGCAAGAGCUUGAAGAAGUGUCAUCCAUUGAGUUCCUUGAGCAAUUUGGAAGUCUAUGAUGUGUAUGUGAUCCUCAUUCCUGCAAGCUUCGGCAAUGGCUCCAUUGGCAGCCAUGUAACCAAAUUUUAAGUAGGGACAGAUUUCGAAAAGCAGUUGCAUGUAAGUGAGUAAUUCUUCACCUUCAGGCUCUCUGCACUUAAGGGCAUGAUAGAUACUAUUCCCUGACGCUUCUGUCCUUGCAACAAGACCUUCUACCAUAUAAGCACCGAGCCUCUGGAUUGGCUCCCC